UUUCAGCAAGAUUACGGGAGGCGACAGUGGGGAGUUUUGGGCAAUGGGCGAAAGCCUGACCCAGCAACGCCGCGUGAAGGAUGAGGUCCUUCGGGAUGUAAACUUCGUAAGAAUGGGAAGAAUAAAUGACGGUACCAUUUGUAAGGUCCGGCUAACUACGUGCCAGCAGCCGCGGUA
Molecule: ribosomal RNA, 177 nt
Filed under: uncultured bacterium
Lineage: Bacteria
Description: partial 16S ribosomal RNA
Rfam family: Bacterial small subunit ribosomal RNA
Source: RNAcentral